Mastomys coucha (southern multimammate mouse) is the source of this 108-nucleotide small nucleolar RNA. RefSeq annotates it as small nucleolar RNA U13. The transcript has a single exon. NCBI's taxonomy places the organism in Eukaryota, Metazoa, Chordata, Mammalia, Rodentia, Muridae. The record is from RefSeq and is a predicted model, not a curated record.
AUCCUUAUGUGAUUUAUUAGUAUGAUGGUAUGACAGGGUUUUUACACCACUGUGUGAAAUGUGCUCGCCUCAAACCUUAUUGCAAAGCCAGCGCUUCAUAUAUGUACA